Molecule: ribosomal RNA, 429 nt
Filed under: uncultured archaeon
Lineage: Archaea
Description: bacterial SSU rRNA
Rfam family: Archaeal small subunit ribosomal RNA
Source: RNAcentral
UACCAGCUCUCCGAGUGGUAGGGAUGAUUAUUGGGCUUAAAGCGUCCGUAGCCGGCUUAGCAAGUCUCCUGUUAAAUUCAGCGACCUAAUCGUUGAGCCGCGGGAGACACUACUAGGCUAGGAGGCGGGAGAGGCCGACGGUAUUCUCGGGGUAGGGGUGAAAUCCUAUAAUCCCGGGAGGACCACCAGUGGCGAAGGCUGUCGGCUAGAACGCGCUCGGCGGUGAGGGACGAAAGCUGGGGGAGCGAACCGGAUUAGAUACCCGGGUAGUCCCAGCUGUAAACGAUGCGGGCUAGGUGUUGGGGUGGCUACGAGCCACUUCAGUGCCGCAGGGAAGCCAUUAAGCCCGCCGCCUGGGGAGUACGGCCGCAAGGCUGAAACUUAAAGGAAUUGGCGGGGGAACACCACAAGGCGUGAAGCUUGCGGUUC